UAAGGUGGUUAUAGCAACGAGGCUCACCUCUUCCCAUUCCGAACAGAGAAGUUAAGCCCACCAGCGCCGAUGGUACUGCAGUAACAUGUGGGAGAGUAGGUCGUCGCCAGCU
RNAcentral lists this ribosomal RNA (112 nucleotides) under Cytophagales bacterium. The record is from RNAcentral. Lineage: Bacteria; Pseudomonadati; Bacteroidota; Cytophagia; Cytophagales.